Molecule: long non-coding RNA, 1077 nt
Organism: Pezoporus occidentalis (night parrot)
Lineage: Eukaryota; Metazoa; Chordata; Aves; Psittaciformes; Psittacidae
Exons: 2
Source: RefSeq, a predicted model, not a curated record
GAACAGCUAACAAUUUUGCCUCGAGCCUUCCCAUUACCAUUGCGUUCAGCUCACCCUACUGUUUGGCAGCUGGCCAGUUCAGAAAGCCUACAGAGGAAAAUGGCUCUGAAGGAAAAAAUGUGCAUGUUAAGCAGAGGACAGCCUUUGUGAAGGGUGAGAAAAAACAAGACAAAUACCCUCAACUGCCAAAGUGCUCUCUGGUACACGGAGGAAUGAAGUGAGACGAAAGGGAAGGAAGAAACUGCAGUAGCCAGGAGUCUCUUCAUUAAAGAUAACUUUAGCCUGUAUGCUCUAUAGUGCUGAAACAAAACAUGUUUCUACUUCAGGACCAGGCCUGCUUUACAUUAAGGAUGUUCCUCUGUGGAGAGGCUGGGAGGAUUUAUGUGGAACUGUGGCACCUAAGCCAUUCAAGAAUGCAUGCCAACCUUCAAAACCGUAUUAAUGAGACCACAAAAUCCUUCAAAAAAGUUUGCGGGACAAUGCAGUAUAACCCGAGCAUGCUGAGCAGAUCUGAGUGGCUCUUCUUCAGAUGGAGUGAUGCUGACCUUUUUAUUCAAUGGGACUUAUCUUGCUGUCAAAGGCACUUCAACUAGUACUGCUGACACGCACAUCACGGGCUCCUUGAGUCCUCUCCUACUACUACAAGCCCCUGUGCAGAAUCAUCAGCAAAGUCUUUGCCUGACAUAUAUACACAUAUAUAUAUCUCCAGUGUCAGAACUAGCCCCCUUACUUCCUCUCACCAGUCAUCUACAGAUUCAUUUCAGUCAAGCUGUGCUCCAGCUGUACAGCAUUGCAAUGCUGCAGCAUACUUACAGAGUUUCAGCCAAUAGUCCUCCUUCACUUCCUACAGGCUUUCAGUCUGUCUCUCUCUCCCUACAGUGUCUCAUGCACUACCUCGGAUACAGAAGGUUUAAUUACAGUGAAGUAUGCAGGAAUUGAACCAAUAACAAGAAAAUCCUCAUCUAUCAUCUUAUAUUUAGAGAAUUUCAUCUGGAAAACUUUCCAGUCCUCCAUUACAAUGUUUACAUGCAAGAGAAUUCUCCUGUAAUAAAUCAUGAUUUACAUUUAGAUAGUACA